GCCGCUGCAAUAGCUCAGUGGGUAAAGCGCCAGGUGAGUAGAUGUCGAUUACUCCGAGAGCUAUUAUCCCCGCGGGUUCGAAUCCCGCCUGUGGCA
RNAcentral lists this transfer RNA (96 nucleotides) under Aromia moschata. Its description in RNAcentral is "tRNA-OTHER". It matches the Rfam family "tRNA". From Rfam's summary of the family: Transfer RNA (tRNA) molecules are approximately 80 nucleotides in length. Lineage: Eukaryota; Metazoa; Arthropoda; Insecta; Coleoptera; Cerambycidae. The record is from RNAcentral.